RNAcentral lists this transfer RNA (78 nucleotides) under Neptis soma (sullied sailer). RNAcentral's name for it is "tRNA-Ala". The stretch from base 1 to 65 matches the Rfam family "tRNA". From Rfam's summary of the family: Transfer RNA (tRNA) molecules are approximately 80 nucleotides in length. Their secondary structure includes four short double-helical elements and three loops (D, anti-codon, and T loops). Lineage: Eukaryota; Metazoa; Arthropoda; Insecta; Lepidoptera; Nymphalidae. The record is from RNAcentral.
AGGAUUAUAGUUUAUUUAAAACAUUUGAUUUGCAUUCAAAAAAUAUUGAACUUCAAUUUAUCUUAAUUUUGUAUAACA